RNAcentral lists this ribosomal RNA (197 nucleotides) under uncultured bacterium. Its description in RNAcentral is "partial 16S ribosomal RNA". It matches the Rfam family "Bacterial small subunit ribosomal RNA", at positions 1304 to 1500 of the family's 1533-position model. The record is from RNAcentral.
UCUGCAACUCGAGUGCAUGAAGCUGGAAUCGCUAGUAAUCGCGAAUCAGAAUGUCGCGGUGAAUACGUUCCCGGGUCUUGUACACACCGCCCGUCACACCAUGGGAGCCGACAACGCCCGAAGUCAGUGACCUAACCGAGAGGGAGGAGCUGCCGAAGGCGGGGUUGGUAACUGGGGUGAAGUCGUAACAAGGUAUC